This 254-nucleotide ribosomal RNA is filed under the name uncultured bacterium. RNAcentral describes it as "partial 16S ribosomal RNA". It matches the Rfam family "Bacterial small subunit ribosomal RNA", at positions 524 to 776 of the family's 1533-position model. The record is from RNAcentral.
UACGUAGGGGGCUAGCGUUGUCCGGAUUUAUUGGGCGUAAAGAGCUCGUAGGCGGUUCGGUAAGUCAGGUGUGAAAUCUCCACGCUCAACGUGGAGGCGCCACCUGAAACUGCCGUGACUCGAGUCCGGUAGGGGAGUGUGGAAUUCCUGGUGUAGCGGUGAAAUGCGUAGAUAUCAGGAGGAACACCGGUGGUGUAGACGGCUUUCUGGACCGUAACUGACGCUGAGACACGAAAGCGUGGGUAGCAAACAGG